GCCAUGGUGUGACUCUGCAUGAAGAACAAGGAGGAGCUGGGGCAGUGGCUCAGUCAGUAAAGUGUUUGCUGUGCAAAUAUGAGGACCUGAGUUCAAAUCUCCACAAUCCAUUUAAAAAGCCAAGCAUGGCACAACACGCUGGGAUUCCAGUGCUGGGGAGGCCGAGACAGGUGAAUCCCUGAAGCUUGCUGGCCUGACACAUUAGCUAAUGGGGCAAAACCAGCUUUAAAGUUCGUGGAUUGGACAGCUAACACCCACUAGGACAGAGUUGAGAAGCGGGACCCCUAAGAGGUGGUGAGGCCUUUAGGACUCUGCCUUCGUGGAUGAUCAUUCAACAAGAAGAUCCUCUUCCUGGCCAAGCAUGUCGUCUUGAGGCUGAUGCAGAAGGGUCACAGGGUUGAGGCCAACCUGGGCUACUGGGAUACAUAAAGAAUCACGGUUCAGCUGGGCUACCUCAAACCUUAUAUCAAAAUACAAAAGAAAUAAAUAUAACCCCCAAAUGAACAAGUCCAAAAAGCUUUAAAUUCAAGUCUCUAACUCUUGAGCUCCCAGCCUCCAGAACUUUAAGAAAUCUUUCUUCUUUAUAAAUGACUCCAUCUCAAGCAUUGUGUUAUAGCACCAAAAAAAAAUGGAUGAAGAUGUUUAAUCUCAACCCAA
This is a long non-coding RNA of Alexandromys fortis (reed vole), 657 nucleotides long. RefSeq lists it as uncharacterized. The record is from RefSeq and is a predicted model, not a curated record. The transcript is spliced from 3 exons. NCBI's taxonomy places the organism in Eukaryota, Metazoa, Chordata, Mammalia, Rodentia, Cricetidae.